This 254-nucleotide ribosomal RNA is filed under the name uncultured bacterium. RNAcentral describes it as "partial 16S ribosomal RNA". It matches the Rfam family "Bacterial small subunit ribosomal RNA", at positions 524 to 776 of the family's 1533-position model. The record is from RNAcentral.
UACGUAGGGGGCGAGCGUUGUCCGGAUUUAUUGGGCGUAAAGAGCUCGUAGGCGGUUCGAUAAGUCGGAUGUGAAAUCUCCACGCUCAACGUGGAGGGGCCAUUCGAUACUGUCGUGACUCGAGUCCGGAAGAGGUGAGUGGAAUUCCGAGUGUAGAGGUGAAAUUCGUAGAUAUUCGGAGGAACGCCAGUGGCGAAGGCGGCUCACUGGUCCGGUACUGACGCUGAGGUGCGAAAGCGUGGGGAGCAAACAGG